CGUGCUUAAUACAUGCAAGUCAACUUGACUUUAGAUAGCAAUAUCGAAAAGUAGGGUGGCGCACGGGUGCGUAACGCGUAGGUAAUCUGCCCUGAGGUCUGACAUAACCCGUCGAAAGGCGGGCUAACAUCAGAUGAUAUAUAAUCACGACAUCGUGGAAAUAUCAAAUCUUCGGAGCCUUGGGAUGAGCCUGCGUCUGAUUAGGUAGUUGGCGGAGUAAUAGCCCACCAAGCCUACGAUCAGUAGCUGGUCUGAGAGGAUGAUCAGCCACACUGGAACUGAGACACGGUCCAGACUCCUACGGGAGGCAGCAGUAAGGAAUAUUGCUCAAUGGGGGAAACCCUGAAGCAGCAACGCCGCGUGAAGGAUGAAAUACUUUGUAUGUAAACUUCUGUAAGAUGGGAAAAAUAUUCUCCUCGGGAGAAUUGAUUGUACCAUCAGAGUAAGCCCCGGCUAACUACGUG
Molecule: ribosomal RNA, 464 nt
Filed under: uncultured bacterium
Lineage: Bacteria
Description: bacterial SSU rRNA
Rfam family: Bacterial small subunit ribosomal RNA
Source: RNAcentral